This 307-nucleotide non-coding RNA is filed under the name Macaca fascicularis (crab-eating macaque). Lineage: Eukaryota; Metazoa; Chordata; Mammalia; Primates; Cercopithecidae. The record is from Rfam by way of RNAcentral.
GCUGGGCGUGGUGGCACGCACCUGUAAUCCCAGCUACUAGGGAGGCUGAGGCAGGAGAAUUGCUUGAACCCGGGAGGCAGAGGUUGCAGUGAGCCAAGAUGGUGCCACUGCACUCCAGCCAGGGUGACAAAAGCGAAAUUCCUUCUCAAAAAAAAAAAAAAAAAAAAAAAUCAAAACAGCCUUUUUUUUGUUUUUGUUUUUGUUUUUGAGAUGGAGUCUUGCUCCUUCACCUGGCUGGAAUGCAGUGGUGUGAUCUCAGCUCACUGCAACCUCCGCCUCCCGGGUUCAAGCAAUUCUCCUGCCUCAG